UUAAGCGACUAAGCGUACACGGUGGAUGCCCUGGCAGUCAGAGGCGAUGAAGGACGUGCUAAUCUGCGAAAAGCGUCGGUAAGGUGAUAUGAACCGUUAUAACCGGCGAUGUCCGAAUGGGGAAACCCAGUGUGAUUCGUCACACUAUCGUUAACUGAAUACAUAGGUUAACGAGGCGAACCGGGGGAACUGAAACAUCUAAGUACCCCGAGGAAAAGAAAUCAACCGAGAUUCCCCCAGUAGCGGCGAGCGAACGGGGAGCAGCCCAGAGUCUGAAUCAGCUUGUGUGUUAGUGGAACGGUCUGGAAAGUCCGACGGUACAGGGUGAUAGUCCCGUACACCAAAAUGCACAGGUUGUGAACUCGAAGAGUAGGGCGGGACACGUGGUAUCCUGUCUGAAUAUGGGGGGACCAUCCUCCAAGGCUAAAUACUCCUGACUGACCGAUAGUGAACCAGUACCGUGAGGGAAAGGCGAAAAGAACCCCGGCGAGGGAGUGAAAAAGAACCUGAAACCGUGUACGUACAAGCAGUGGGAGCACCUUCGGGUGUGACUGCGUACCUUUUGUAUAAUGGGUCAGCGACUUAUAUUCUGUAGCAAGGUUAACCGUAUAGGGGAGCCGCAGGGAAACCGAGUCUUAACUGGGCGUUAAGUUGCAGGGUAUAGACCCGAAACCCGGUGAUCUAGCCAUGGGCAGGUGAAGGUUGGGUAACACUAACUGGAGGACCGAACCGACUAAUGUUGAAAAAUUAGCGGAUGACUUGUGGCUGGGGGUGAAAGGCCAAUCAAACCGGGAGAUAGCUGGUUCUCCCCGAAAGCUAUUUAGGUAGCGCCUCGUGAAUUCAUCUUCGGGGGUAGAGCACUGUUUCGGCUAGGGGGUCAUCCCGACUUACCAACCCGAUGCAAACUACGAAUACCGAAGAAUGUUAUCACGGGAGACACACGACGGGUGCUAACGUCCGUCGUGAAGAGGGAAACAACCCAGACCGCCAGCUAAGGUCCCAAAGUCAUGGUUAAGUGGGAAACGAUGUGGGAAGGCACAGACAGCCAGGAUGUUGCUUAGAAGCAGCCAUCAUUUAAAGAAAGCGUAAUAGCUCACUGGUCGAGUCGGCCUGCGCGGAAGAUGUAACGGGGCUAAACCAUGCACCGAAGCUGCGGCAGCGACACUAUGUGUUGUUGGGUAGGGAGCGUUCUGUAAGCCUGCGAAGGUGACCUGUGAGGGUUGCUGGAGGUAUCAGAAGUGCGAAUGCUGACAUAAGUAACGAUAAAGCGGGUGAAAAGCCCGCUCGCCGGAAGACCAAGGGUUCCUGUCCAACGUUAAUCGGGCAGGGUGAGUCGACCCUAAGGCCGAGGCCGAAAGGCGUAGUCGAUGGGAAACAGGUUAAUAUUCCUGUACUUGGUGUUACUGCGAAGGGGGGGACGGAGAAGGCUAUGUUAGCCGGGCGACGGUUGUCCCGGUUUAAGCAUGUAGGCUGGUUGUCCAGGCAAAUCCGGAUAAUCAAGGCUGAGGUGUGAUGACGAGGCACUACGGUGCUGAAGUAACAAAUGCCCUGCUUCCAGGAAAAGCCUCUAAGCAUCAGGUAACAUCAAAUCGUACCCCAAACCGACACAGGUGGUCAGGUAGAGAAUACCAAGGCGCUUGAGAGAACUCGGGUGAAGGAACUAGGCAAAAUGGUGCCGUAACUUCGGGAGAAGGCACGCUGGUGUGUAGGUGAAGUCCCUGCGGAUGGAGCUGAGACCAGUCGAAGAUACCAGCUGGCUGCAACUGUUUAUUAAAAACACAGCACUGUGCAAACACGAAAGUGGACGUAUACGGUGUGACGCCUGCCCGGUGCCGGAAGGUUAAUUGAUGGGGUUAUCCGUAAGGAGAAGCUCUUGAUCGAAGCCCCGGUAAACGGCGGCCGUAACUAUAACGGUCCUAAGGUAGCGAAAUUCCUUGUCGGGUAAGUUCCGACCUGCACGAAUGGCGUAAUGAUGGCCAGGCUGUCUCCACCCGAGACUCAGUGAAAUUGAACUCGCUGUGAAGAUGCAGUGUACCCGCGGCAAGACGGAAAGACCCCGUGAACCUUUACUAUAGCUUGACACUGAACAUUGAGCCUUGAUGUGUAGGAUAGGUGGGAGGCUUUGAAGCGUGGACGCCAGUCUGCGUGGAGCCAACCUUGAAAUACCACCCUUUAAUGUUUGAUGUUCUAACGUUGGCCCCUGACCGGGGUUGCGGACAGUGUCUGGUGGGUAGUUUGACUGGGGCGGUCUCCUCCCAAAGCGUAACGGAGGAGCACGAAGGUUAGCUAAUCCUGGUCGGACAUCAGGAGGUUAGUGCAAUGGCAUAAGCUAGCUUGACUGCGAGCGUGACGGCGCGAGCAGGUGCGAAAGCAGGUCAUAGUGAUCCGGUGGUUCUGAAUGGAAGGGCCAUCGCUCAACGGAUAAAAGGUACUCCGGGGAUAACAGGCUGAUACCGCCCAAGAGUUCAUAUCGACGGCGGUGUUUGGCACCUCGAUGUCGGCUCAUCACAUCCUGGGGCUGAAGUAGGUCCCAAGGGUAUGGCUGUUCGCCAUUUAAAGUGGUACGCGAGCUGGGUUUAGAACGUCGUGAGACAGUUCGGUCCCUAUCUGCCGUGGGCGCUGGAGAAUUGAGGGGGGCUGCUCCUAGUACGAGAGGACCGGAGUGGACGCAUCACUGGUGUUCGGGUUGUCAUGCCAAUGGCACUGCCCGGUAGCUAAAUGCGGAAGAGAUAAGUGCUGAAAGCAUCUAAGCACGAAACUUGCCCCGAGAUGAGUUCUCCCUGAGACUAUAAGUCUCCUGAAGGAACGUUAAAGACGAUGACGUUGAUAGGCCGGGUGUGUAAGCGCAGCGAUGCGUUGAGCUAACCGGUACUAAUGAACCGUGAGGCUUAACCUU
This 2896-nucleotide ribosomal RNA is filed under the name Serratia liquefaciens. RNAcentral's name for it is "23S ribosomal RNA". It matches the Rfam family "Bacterial large subunit ribosomal RNA". Lineage: Bacteria; Pseudomonadati; Pseudomonadota; Gammaproteobacteria; Enterobacterales; Yersiniaceae. The record is from RNAcentral.